This is a long non-coding RNA of Pan troglodytes (chimpanzee), 534 nucleotides long. RefSeq lists it as uncharacterized. The transcript has 2 exons. Lineage: Eukaryota; Metazoa; Chordata; Mammalia; Primates; Hominidae. The record is from RefSeq and is a predicted model, not a curated record.
UUAGCGUCCUGGUCGCUCGCGCCCCGCCGACGCCUCCUUUUUCUCUCCCUACCUCUGCGCUCUCCGGCCGCCGCUGAGAUCUGGGACGGCGGCACAUCCAGCCCGGGAGACGACUGGCUAGGAAAUGGAACUAUACUGGAGGUAAAGCUGAAUAACUGUUGCGGGCCGGGCGCAGUGGCUCACGCCUGUAAUCCCAGCACUUUGGGAGGCCGAGGCAGGUGGAUCACGAGGUCAAGAGUUCAAGACCAGCCUGACCAAGAUGGUGAAACCCCCGUCUCUACUAAAAAUACAAAAAUCAGCCAGGCGCAGUGGCAGGCGCCUGUAAUCCCAGCUACUCGGGAGUCUGAGGCAGAAUUGCUUGAACCUGGGGGGCGGAGGUUGCAGUGAGCCGAGAUUGUGCCACUGUACUCCAGCCUGGGUGACAGAGUGAUACUCCAUCUCAAAAAAGCAAAAACAAAAACAAAGCUGAAUAACUGCUUAUUCAUUUUUUCCCUAAGAAUUUUGAUAUACUUGUUAAUAAAAAUUAAAAUGUUA